This 443-nucleotide ribosomal RNA is filed under the name uncultured Allobrachymonas sp. Its description in RNAcentral is "bacterial SSU rRNA". It matches the Rfam family "Bacterial small subunit ribosomal RNA", at positions 937 to 1382 of the family's 1533-position model. Lineage: Bacteria; Pseudomonadati; Pseudomonadota; Betaproteobacteria; Burkholderiales; Comamonadaceae. The record is from RNAcentral.
UGAUGUGGUUUAAUUCGAUGCAACGCGAAAACCUUACCCACCUUUGACAUGGCAGGAAUCCCGAAGAGUAUUUGGGAGUGCUCGAAAGAGAACCUGCACACAGGUGCUGCAUUGGCUGUCGUCAGCUCGUGUCGUGAGAUGUUGGGUUAAGUCCCGCAACGAGCGCAACCCUUGCCAUUAGUUGCUACGAAAGGGCACUCUAAUGGGACUGCCGGUGACAAACCGGAGGAAGGUGGGGAUGACGUCAAGUCCUCAUGGCCCUUAUAGGUGGGGCUACACACGUCAUACAAUGGCCGGUACAGAGGGUAGCCAACCCGCGAGGGGGGAGCCAAUCCCACAAAGCCGGUCGUAGUCCGGAUCGCAGUCUGCAACUCGACUGCGUGAAGUCGGAAUCGCUAGUAAUCGCGGAUCAGCAUGUCGCGGUGAAUACGUUCCCGGGCCUU